AAAAUUUUGAGCAAAACUAUAAAAUCUAAAAAAAUAGGGGAAAAACUAUAAAAUCUAAAAAAUAGGGGCAAAAUUAUAAAAUCUAAAAAAAUGGGAAAAAUUAUAAAAUCUAAAAGUUAAGGGUAAAACUAUAAAAUCUAGAAAAUAUGGGAAAAAUUGUAAAAUUAAAAAAAAGGAGAAAACUGUAAAAUUUAAAAAAUAGGGACAAAAUUAUAAAAUCUGAAAAAUAAGAAACAUACGAUAGUAUAACCAGACCG
Molecule: long non-coding RNA, 257 nt
Filed under: Gossypium raimondii (Peruvian cotton)
Lineage: Eukaryota; Viridiplantae; Streptophyta; Magnoliopsida; Malvales; Malvaceae
Description: long non-coding RNA (GRAI_LNC004725)
Source: RNAcentral